RNAcentral lists this ribosomal RNA (253 nucleotides) under uncultured bacterium. RNAcentral describes it as "partial 16S ribosomal RNA". It matches the Rfam family "Bacterial small subunit ribosomal RNA", at positions 524 to 776 of the family's 1533-position model. The record is from RNAcentral.
UACGUAGGUGGCAAGCGUUGUCCGGAUUUACUGGGCGUAAAGAGUAUGUAGGCGGACAUUUAAGUCAGAUGUGAAAUCCCCGGGCUUAACCUGGGAGCUGCAUUUGAUACUGGGUGUCUAGAGUGUAGGAGAGGAAAGUGGAAUUCCUAGUGUAGCGGUGAAAUGCGUAGAGAUUAGGAAGAACACCAGUGGCGAAGGCGACUUUCUGGACUAUAACUGACGCUGAGAUACGAAAGCGUGGGGAGCAAACAGG